Non-coding RNA from Lolium perenne, 3716 nucleotides. The record is from RefSeq and is a predicted model, not a curated record. NCBI's taxonomy places the organism in Eukaryota, Viridiplantae, Streptophyta, Magnoliopsida, Poales, Poaceae.
ACCAACCAAUCCCCUCCCGUAAGCCAGCCCCAAUCCCAGUCCUCCUCUCGUCCCCAAUCCCCGCGUCCCCUCUUUCUCCCCCAAUCUGGUGCCUCCUCCACAAUCUGCCCCUACUGCCCAAUCCACCGCCUCCUGCCCAAUCCGCCGCCUCCUACCACAACCCCGUGCUUGCUCGUUGGUUAGGACGACCGGAGGAGGCACAUGCACCAGAUCCGUUGGGAUUGAAGGUGGUUCUUCCAGGGAGGAGAAAAUAUGAAGAUUUGAAGAGAAGGCGGCGCGGGGGAGACCGGCAGCGGUGGCCAGUGCCCGUCGACGAGCGCCUCCACGGGAGGUGGCGUGAGAGACCGGCUGUGUGACCACGGCCGACGAGCUUGACGAGAUGGCGGGCUAGGGUUAGCCGUUGCGAGCGCGCCGGCGAGUCCGCCAUGAGCGGAUCCCUGCUUCCUCGCCGCUCUCCUCUGUUGGUGAGGGAAUGGAGAAGGGGGUGCGAGUGGACCCGGAGAAGCCAUGUGAAGCCGGUCUGGUUCGUCGGCGAGGAAGAUCAACUGGGAAGAAAAGGUGAAACUGGUGAGGAAAAGAAGCAGCACACCAGCAAAAGAAUGGUUGUGCAACAAGUCAGUAUUAGAUGAUCCUACACCCGGUUGGUCUUGAUUUUUGGUGGAUUAGUUCAUGUGUAAUAGCGCAUAGGUUGCAAGGUAUUCUUUGUUGUGUGUCCGUUGAUUGCAAUUGUAUGGAGCUGGCUCUGGUGGCGGCGCUGCGUGGAGGAGGGGCUUGGGGCGGUGCUAGCCAAGAGGAGGAUCUGCAGCCAUGGGAGAUUCAUGUGGUUGUAUGGAGCAUUGAGGACUUUUGGAGAGUGGCCAGUAGGAUGAGCUGGACCUUUUUUUCAGAGAAAAGGUGAAGUGGUGAACGGGGCUACAGCGAGCAGGGCCGGAACGGAUGGUCGUCUCUCCCUGGUGCUCAAAUGUUUGGAUACGGGAUUGAAACAAAAUCGACUGCCGGCGCAGGUUGAACGAGGCCAUGCUCGUUGAGCAACAACGGCUGGUUUUAAGGGUGUUUGUGUAGGCUGAGCAGAUCGAGUUGUAUAAUGCACAUACCACAACUAUUGUUGUUGUGGUGACUCAGACAGGACCAUUUCAGGCUUCAGUUAGCUGAAAGGGAAUACAUCGAGCAAUGUUGGACCAUGUAGUUGUGCUUAUCAUGGUCAAUGAGGUGCCUGAGCAAAAUUAGUAAUACAGCAUGUGGUUGAGCCAAAUAAGUAAUACAACAGCUAGAUGAGUGGCGUAUACUAGAUUGUUGCAGUAGGUAUUGACCGAGGUGCGUGGAAUUUUAUGGAAUGAAUUCUUAGGCAUCAGCAAAAGGACUUGUGCAAUGGUGAUGCCAAUGAUGCACAAUGAGGAGAUGGUUGGGCCUUGUAGUGUGCUUACGGCAGCAGCUCUCUUGGCAGUGCGGUGUUCUCGGCUGGAGAAGGGCGACCUUGCCAGCAAACUCGCCAUCUCUUUCCCUAGGAGCUAAUGAUAUACAUUUCAUUCCAAAAACUUAGAGGGCUGAUUCAGUUCCAAACAUGCAGUCAAUAAUUACUGCUUCAGAUGGGGGCAAUGGUGGCUCAUGAAGAUCUGGGUGCUGAACUUCCGGUUGAGGAAGUACCUUCACUACAGGUUUUGCGAUGUUCGUGUAUGGCAUAUUGGCCUUCUCAGGAGUUGCUUUCUGGAUAUGCUCGCUGCUCUAUGGAUCUAUUAUUUCAAGAAAUGAUGAUAUACGGGUGUUGUCAAGAAUAUCGUCCCAGCCAUGCUGCUGCUUGUGCAUUGGAAGCUUUGAAGCUCGUCUUUGGCUGCAGCAGAAGUGUGUCAAAUUAUAUCAUUGGUAUAGUCGGCUUGUUUUAGCUAUGGCCAUUUUUGUGUGUACCAGUUGCCUCUGGGAGCCGCAUACAGUCUGUUCGGGUGUAUUUACCUGCAGUAUGUAUGGCAGUUGCAGCAGCUUGCUAAUUAGUACCCACCAAAGGUCCAUCUUCCUGGUGAGAUUUGUCAAGUAUAAUCAUGCAUAACAUGUGUUUUGCGGCGAUUCCUGCUGUUGAAGGUGAACGCGUGCAAGUACAACCAAUUCAGAAUUGCCACAUGUAUGUUCAGUUUUGUAAUGAUGAAUUCCCCUCCCUCAACCUGAGGCCUAUAACGCCUAAAUGGGAUUUAAGUUCCCACUCAUUACGUUAAUCCAUGAAUGGCAGGCAUAUAUUUCUCGAACGAAUUCCCUACGAAAGACAUUUACAUCUGUCAAGGGCAUAUACUCCAAGGCUAAAGUUCAAGGGCAAAAGAUCACCUGGCUAAUUCCACAUGCUCUUCAACAAGUUUUAACUGAUCACGUUGACUUCAAUGUGAUGCUCACAUUCUUGGAAUUCUAUGAGCUAUACAUACUUUGUGUUAUCUGUGUUGUCGUGCUUACUAUGGAGCUUUUGAGAACCCUAUGAUGGCAUUCAAAUGCAGAGUUAUGACCAUGGCAACUUCUCAAGCUCGGUCUAGAAUCUUUAUCAAAGAAGAGUUAGAAGAGGAGCGAGAGGAGGUGGCAUGUGGGACCAGAACUUCACAGCUUCUAUGCGAUAAAGGUGCGCAAAUUGAUGUUGGUAUUUAGAUUGUGGUAAUCUAGCUGCGAUUCUACUGGGAGAAUUGGGAUACUAUUUUUAGGCACAUUAUCAUUAGUGAUUUGGUUUUAUCAGGAGUAGUACGUGUUGACCACACCACAACGCAACAAUGACAAAGUUGAUAUGGAGCUGCAUGCUAGCGGCGUUGUUCACUUUGUACUUACUAUAUAAGAGUUUUCUUUGAAUUAAUUUAGCUUAUGUAUUAACCUGUUGGCUAAAUGAGUGGACAUCAGUAGCUUGAAUGCCUUUGCUUUUGAAUUUUUAGUCACUUGCAAAACACUCAGCACCUUACAAACAGUUCAGAUAGUUUUGGAGAAAAGAAACAGACCCAGCAAUGGAACACUAACCCUUUCCCUGAAUGGAAUCACACCUUAUGUUUUUUUUUGUAAUAUUUGAGAGUAGCACUUGGAGUCAAUCAGAACAUGUAUAACCACAAGCCGUACAUUAGUUAUGCAUACAUGUGCCCAAAAUAUAUUUUCAGCAUGCGUUUAUGUGUAGUGUGUGUGUCUCCACACCAAGAUUAUAGAAUCUCGCAUUGCUUUCGAGUUUCCACCCUGGAGAUUUAUCUCCUUUGAUCCAACUGGUUUUGAUCAUAGCCAACUACUAAAAAUAAAUAAUUCUUUAUGUUGAUGAAGCCAUUGAAAAUAUUGGCGACACCUUUCAGUUAAACAACCUUUCAACUGAAUAUAUCAAGGCAACAUGAGCAUUUGAUAAGAGAUUUUUAUUGUGUUUCUUACAACUUUUUUCUAUGACUAUUUAAUGGUACCUAUUAUAUUGGGCAACCUCAUUUGAUGUGUUUCAGGCAUGUUUUCCAAAAUAAGAAUACAUGACAUUUAAUUUUGCUUUGUUCUGUUGGUACACGGAGCUUGAGCACAGGCAUAUGACUCCACUUGUGGACUGGUUGCUACAAUUCAAAUACUUAGGUUUGUGAUUUCUUAAGUAGUUUUUUUUGUAUUUGUUUUAUAGGAUUAAUAUCAGAGGAACCAGCGGUAAUGAUGUAUAGUGAUCUUGGUGCGCAUUUGUUCUUUGGUUCUUAGUGAUGAUCCUGGUAUAUUCUUAUUGAAGGAAAUGACACUUAUUACAUACU